GUAAAUAUAGUUUAACUAAAACACUAGAUUGUGAUUCUGGUAACAGGGGUUAAAAUCCCCUUAUUCACC
RNAcentral lists this transfer RNA (69 nucleotides) under Hemisalanx brachyrostralis. RNAcentral describes it as "tRNA-His". It matches the Rfam family "tRNA". From Rfam's summary of the family: Transfer RNA (tRNA) molecules are approximately 80 nucleotides in length. Their secondary structure includes four short double-helical elements and three loops (D, anti-codon, and T loops). Further hydrogen bonds mediate the characteristic L-shaped molecular structure. tRNAs have two regions of fundamental functional importance: the anti-codon, which is responsible for specific mRNA codon recognition, and the 3' end, to which the tRNAs corresponding amino acid is attached (by aminoacyl-tRNA synthetases). tRNAs cope with the degeneracy of the genetic code in two manners: having more than one tRNA (with a specific anti-codon) for a particular amino acid; and 'wobble' base-pairing, i.e. permitting non-standard base-pairing at the 3rd anti-codon position. Lineage: Eukaryota; Metazoa; Chordata; Actinopteri; Osmeriformes; Salangidae. The record is from RNAcentral.